UCAACAGGCUAUUCCAGUAGACUCGUUUAAUUAAAAAAACUACACACAUCUUUGCAAUCCAAAAUUAACCAACGGAUUUAUCGAUACGAGACUGAAAUCAAUGAGAACAUCAGCAAGAUCUACCAAACGGAAAGUUGAUAUCGAAGAUAAAGGGAAGUCUACCAAUCCCAAAAAGACCAGUGGUCGUAAACCUGAACUUAAAGAAGAUGACACUGAUACAACUUCUACUUACAUUGAAGAUGAAGCUAUAUUUAAAGUUGAUUGGUUAAAGACCCACAUUCUGUCUCCUGGAAUAAACAAUGAAACAAUAAAACAACACACGGAAUCUACAUACAGAUACAGACAGUCACAGAUUACUGCAGGGAAUUGGACAACUUCCCAAAUAUUAGCGGAAUAUCCACGUUUCCGUGACUACCCACUUUUGUUAAAUAUGCCAUAUGUUAAGAAACAUUUCAUCAUUAUUCUGAAAAAUUGAUUCCUUUAGGUAUUCUACGAUUUCUUGACUGCUUACACCAAAGCUGAGAGUUUUGAGGACAACUUUAUGGGGAAAUUUUCUCCAUUGAUAAUGAGCGCCGCUGAAAAAGGAAAUAUUGUAAUUCCAGAUACCGAUGAUGAAUGCCUAAAGCUUCUCAUAUUGCUGUUAAAAAUCGUCCCCAACCUUUAAAGGAUUAAAGCGAUGUCUAAAGAUGUAAUAAUUGAACGGGUCAUCUGCUUCAUAAAUGCCAAUGAUGACAUUUUGGAAAUUGCUAAAGAACACAAGCCCCAUCUGCUUCUGUCACCCUUUAUUUGCUGCGUGGGAAGUAUCCAACAUCCUGCAAGUUUUUCCGUCGUUUCAGAAGGAGAAGUUAUCCAUGCUGGCAAAACAUCAAUUGAGGCUUUUAAGACUCUCUAUGCUUCAUUCCAUAUGCUCCGAAUACCAUAUCCCUCCAUCUUUUCUACUUUUUUCUUUUUUUUUGACAGUAACCUUUUCCGUGUGCAUCCGGGGAAAAUUCGUCCUAGUGUUGCGGACUUACAUGUUCUGUUAAAUCCUAAUGUACAUCCCAGCUCUUAGCUGUACUUAAGA
This is a long non-coding RNA of Daphnia pulex (common water flea), 1063 nucleotides long. RefSeq lists it as uncharacterized. The record is from RefSeq and is a predicted model, not a curated record. NCBI's taxonomy places the organism in Eukaryota, Metazoa, Arthropoda, Branchiopoda, Diplostraca, Daphniidae. The transcript has 4 exons.